CCAGGAAGCACACCUUCAGGAAACACCAUUUCUGUGCUAGUCCAAAGGGCACCAUCCACCUGGACCAGAAUGUGAGAUGCCCUUUGGAGUUGCACAGAGGUCCUGCCUCUUUCCACCUGCACUGCUGUCACCCUGGCCCGGCCGCCACCCUCUCACUGUAUUUCUGCAGCUGAGACCUAGGCCUUAUGCAAGGGAAGGCCCAGGCCAGGAGGGGCCUCACAGCAAGAGUGAAGGAUGCCGGUGAGGUUUGGGGAUUUACCUUAAACAGGCAGUAGGGGCAUUCCGGGUAGAAGGCGGGGGGAGGUCCCUUUCUAAGUAGGGGUGGGAGUAAGAGAAAAAGAUUUCUAUAUGCUUCAGGCAAUAGGUCUGUGCUUUAUUGAAACAAUCCUUCCUCCUGUGAAUAAUAUAAUCUGACAUUUAGGGGGAUGGGAGGAAAUGGCUGGAUGGGUCCCCGGAGCGCCGCUGACGUGAUUUCAGCCGUUAGCAUUUUUUCUCCACAGCUUGGACAAAAGAGGAGGGUGGAAGACUGGAUGCCACUGAGAAGCCCUUCCAUGCCCAGGAGCUGGUGCGGCAUGAACUUUGGGAGGCCCCAGAGCCUCUGACCCCCCUUCUAAACCAGCACCGUAUUCUGAUUGGCUGUCUCUGCCUGCCUCGGUUUAUUCUUCUUACUGAUCGACCACCUCCUUCCACCGUGUCAGAUCUCUGUUCCUACUGGGCCAGUCCCCCCACCUGCCACAGGGUCACCCGGGAUGGCCCGGGUUCUGCAAGGCCUCGACGGCUUGCCUCUUGCCACCAUCAGAUUCUUCCUCAUUAAACAAAUGAAUCACAAUCCUAAUUAAUUUGAGCAACAGAAUUUAUGUAACUACUCCCAGCAGGAUGUCUGCUCUCAGUCGGUAGCAAGAUUAAUUCCUCUCUCUGGGAAAUUCCAGCCGUGCUGGUCAAUAAAGCUUUAAUGAUGA
RNAcentral lists this long non-coding RNA (959 nucleotides) under Lynx pardinus (Iberian lynx). The record is from RNAcentral. Lineage: Eukaryota; Metazoa; Chordata; Mammalia; Carnivora; Felidae.